UGGCUCAGCGGUAGAGCGCUUGCCUUGCAAGCAUGAGGCCCUGGGUUCAAUUCCUCAG
Molecule: transfer RNA, 58 nt
Filed under: Dipodomys ordii (Ord's kangaroo rat)
Lineage: Eukaryota; Metazoa; Chordata; Mammalia; Rodentia; Heteromyidae
Rfam family: tRNA
About the family: Transfer RNA (tRNA) molecules are approximately 80 nucleotides in length. Their secondary structure includes four short double-helical elements and three loops (D, anti-codon, and T loops). Further hydrogen bonds mediate the characteristic L-shaped molecular structure. tRNAs have two regions of fundamental functional importance: the anti-codon, which is responsible for specific mRNA codon recognition, and the 3' end, to which the tRNAs corresponding amino acid is attached (by aminoacyl-tRNA synthetases). tRNAs cope with the degeneracy of the genetic code in two manners: having more than one tRNA (with a specific anti-codon) for a particular amino acid; and 'wobble' base-pairing, i.e. permitting non-standard base-pairing at the 3rd anti-codon position.
Source: Rfam by way of RNAcentral